Molecule: long non-coding RNA, 3423 nt
Organism: Megalobrama amblycephala (Wuchang bream)
Lineage: Eukaryota; Metazoa; Chordata; Actinopteri; Cypriniformes; Xenocyprididae
Exons: 3
Source: RefSeq, a predicted model, not a curated record
GCGUCACUAGGCCCUUUUUAGGGGGGCUUCAGCCCCCCUAAACUUCUGCCCAGCCCCCCUAAAAAAAAUAUUUGAUUAAUAAAUUUUUGAUCGCUUCAGUCCCCUUUAAAAAAACUCAUUUGAAACGGCGGCAAGCUGCGUCAAGUUUCGGCUCCUCCCCUUAUCUGAGUCUGCUUGGAUUUAGCGCAUUUUUCAAUCUGCAGGGGCGCCGAGCAGAGCGAACAUCAGAGAGCACAAGGUGUGUGUCGUGUGUGCGUGCAUUUAUUGAUAGAUUGCUAAUGCUAUGAUAUUACAUCUGCAUCGGUGCAGUUCUUUGUCAUAAAUGCAUUGCAGUUUACAUAAUGUAAUGUUACUGGAGCAUUGGGAGCACACGGGACGGCUCGGUUUCUCAUCCAAUACCAAUACGUUUCGCUGCGUUCACCUUCAGCCCUUGUGUGAUAGUUGUUUUUUAUUCCUACAAAAAUUAAGUGAUUAACACCCAUGAAAACAUACUUUAGAUUCAGAAAACGAUCAUGAUUUAUUUUAAUUUACUUUUUACAAUUACAGACAUAUUAUAAUGUAUUUUGACAUUACAUUAUGCAGCCAUGCACAGAAAUGACACACAUCAUUGUCUGAAAGCACUAGAUGGCCCAGAGAGAGAAUGUGGAGUUAUUUUGUUUUGUAUUAUUAAAUAUAGUUUUGUAUUAAGUAAUAAUGAAUCAGGAGGAGUGUCAUGAUACAUAAAUUAGAGUAAGCGUAGAGUAAAGGGAUUUUUGAUUUUCUUGAUUUAUACUAUUUAUACUAGAUUUGUACUUGAUUUAUAGAAGUGGUAAAUUGAUAAUUCAUGUUGUUAUUUUUAAUAAAUAGAAAUAAAUAUAGAACAGAUUAAUCAUAUUGCCAAUAGACAAUUACAUUAAUACAUGGUUUGUCUAUAUUCUUAAUGAAUAUUAGCUGGUUAGUUAAAAUACUUAAAAUGACAUCAAUUUUCAUGGGGUGACUUUAUGAAUAUCCAACCGUAUUGUUGAUUAUAAAGGCUAAAAAGCUAAAAAACUAAAAUAAUUUAUAUUUCAUUGUAGAUGGAUAUACAACAUUUUUUCUUGUCGUGUGGGAGUAGGUCUGCAAAUGAGCAACAGUCAGAAAAGUCAGUGCAAAAAGUGAAUGAAGUGGAGGCAGAGAAGAUUGAUGAAGGCACAUCAGAGAAAGGGCAAGAUCAUGAUCGAGAAAAGAAGUGGAUGAACAUGGAUGGAGCUGCAAUGAUGUCCCCUGCUGCUGUGAUUACACUGCUCCUACUCCUGUUGUAGAAGCAUCCACUUAGACAACAAAUGGCUUCUCAGGGUCUGGAUGGAUGAGAAGUGGUGCUCUAGGGAAAGCCUCCUUGAGCUUCUGCAUGUCUUGUGUGGCCACUGGAGUCCAGGACAGAGACUUGGGCCUUUUAGGAGGUUUGUGAGGGAUGAGGUAAUGGAACUGAAGUUAUGGAUGAAGCAACGGUAGAAAAUGGCAAAACCUAGGAGUUCUUUAACUGUGGUAGGAAUUGGUAGGAAGUUCACAGCAAUUUUACUUAGUGCACAGUAGCUGAUGCAAGGCCGCAAACCUCUGUCCUUCUUGGCCACAAAGAAAAAAACUGGAAGUAUCAGGGGAUGUAGAAGGGUGGAUGUAGGCUUGCUUGAGAGCCUCUUCUACAUACUCCUCCAUAGCCUUAUGUUCAGGUAUGGAGAGAGGGUAGAUUUUGCCAUGGGGCACUGGCUCACACGGAAAGAGGUUGAUGGCACAGUACAAUGGUCGGUGAGGUGGUAAUUGUGAGGCUUAUUUCGUGCAAAAAAACUCACUGAAGGGUGCAUAAUAACUAGAAUAUCCAUGGAUUGCUUUUCAACAGGGCUUUCGAUGGAGGUGGUAUUCACAGGAACCGCUUGAUGCUUGGAAAUGAGAGGUUGAGGGCUUUCUGGAAGACAGCCAAGGAUGCAGCUGUUCAUCCCCAUCCCCACUUCAGGACAUUGCCACUGGACCAGAAUAGGAUGCAAUUGUGGCCCUAGUAUGUUGCCAGUGGUGGAAUUCCCCAGAACCAUGGGCGUUUUUCAAUACCAAGUACGCAAAGUUUGGACUUGCGUACUUGGUAGUUUGGACUUGCCAAGUUGAACUCAGGAGAACGAACUCCCAAGGACUGGAGGACGCAAGUCUGGUAAUUCUGCAAUUGGUACAGCAGCAUACUUGAUAGUUAUCUCUGUAUUUAUAUUUUAGGCAACAAAAAAAUGAAAUGUGUUAUAAAACACCACUCUGCCUCUUUUCACUUCCAUUUAAAAUUUUUUAAACAUAUUAAUUUUAUGUUUGGACCAGAAACAGCAGUCCCUCGAGGUGUGCCUGGUGUGCCUCACUAACUUUCCAGACAGAUCACUGUAUUCUGACCAGCUUGAACAAGGAAUGGAAGGCACACCUAUCUGGUGUGGGUCCUCGGGGGAGUUUCACCAAGUUUGUGGAGUGAGUGCUGGAGAACCAUAGAGCUAGCAACACUAUCUGAUUUUCCAAAUCCUUUCCAGUGAAGAAAAUUCCCACUCCCAGGAUUAAAGCAUUGCCAAUUACAAUGUCACAAUGCUUCAAGUGAGUGAUCUUCCCCAGUCUGCUCCAGAGUGUGAAAUUCCUGAGUCUGUUCUUGCCCUUGAGUCAGCUUCUGUGAAUGAAACACUGACCAUUAUGGCCACAGCCAUGUUGUGUGUGUGGCCUACACACACGUGGGCUUCAGCCCCUGAGUCUGCUCCAGUGUCAGCUCCAGCCCCUGAGUCCACUCCAGGCCCACCUUCCCUGGUCUUCUGAGUUGCCGGCGCCACCCUGGCCCCCUGAAAUGCCAGCACUGCCCUUGCCCCCUGAACUGUCAGAUCCGCCCUGGAUCCCUGAACUGUCGGUGCCGCCCUGGAUCCCUGUACUGUGGGUUCAGUUUGUUUGGACUUUUUGUUUGUAUUUUGAUCAGUUCCUUUGUUUAGUUUCCCGCCACUCCUUUGUUUCUAUAUUUACCAUCAUUAUGAGUUAAUUUGUCCCAGCUGUGUCUGAUUAAUUAUCUUGUUAGCUCCCCUGUUUGUCUGAGUAUUUAAACCCUAUGUUUUGUCAUGUUCAGUUGUCUGUCGUUAUCGUUGCCUUUAGGCCUGGUUGUUCUGUUUUUGUUCUGAAGAUUCCUGAUUUCUGAAGAUCCCUGAGUAUUUCUGUUCAUUUGAAUUUAUUGCAUUUGAAUUGCUAUUGCAUUGGUAUUGCUGCAUUUGAAUUCAGUUUCAUAUCUACUGCAACAAAAGCCGUGACACACAAAUGUGGUUCAGGCAACACGUACAUCUUCAAUGCGUGUAUUUAUAACACAAUAAAAUAUAAAACACAACCCUGCCUCUUUUUGUUUACAUUAUAAAAAUAUUAAAUAUAUUAAUAUGUGGUUCAGGCAAUAUGUGAAUGUACUCUUAUAAUAUUUAC